RNAcentral lists this ribosomal RNA (118 nucleotides) under agricultural soil bacterium CRS5637T18-1. RNAcentral's name for it is "partial 16S ribosomal RNA". It matches the Rfam family "Bacterial small subunit ribosomal RNA", at positions 372 to 507 of the family's 1533-position model. The record is from RNAcentral.
UGGGCGAAAGCCUGAUCCAGCAAUGCCGCGUGAGUGAUGAAGGCCUUAGGGUUGUAAAGCUCUUUUGCCAGGGAUGAUAAUGACAGUACCUGGAGAAUAAGCUCCGGCUAACUCCGUG